RNAcentral lists this long non-coding RNA (491 nucleotides) under Brassica napus (rape). Its description in RNAcentral is "long non-coding RNA (BNAP_LNC010997)". The record is from RNAcentral. Lineage: Eukaryota; Viridiplantae; Streptophyta; Magnoliopsida; Brassicales; Brassicaceae.
GAUGUGGACAGCUUCAAAUCUCUCCCUCGGUCCCUUUUAUAUAUUGGGAUUGGUAAGAUUAUAAAGAUUUGGUUUUGAUGCCCACCGUUAGUCGUUUGGUCAGCUUGGUUAUUGUGGAGAGCUGGGCAACAUGGUUUUAUAACUUGAUGCUACGAUUUAUAUUUUGAACUUUUUAGUUUUAGUAGGGCGAAUAUUCACAAUUUGGAACGAGCAUGAAGAAAUUCUCUAUACUUCUUUAUCUUCACAAAGUCUAAAAUUUCGGAUAACCAAAAAUAUUGCAGGCCAAAUGAAUCAUAAAAUUAGAUGUUCUGUGGCGAAUACAAAAUUUUAGGAUUAUGCUAUGUGCCAAACACUUUAUGCCAAGUGGCUCAAAUCUAUAACUAACGCUGGCAUUUACAUUUAUUAAUAUUUUGAAGUGAUAGAAAAGUAUAUAACUUGUGAUUGGUAUAAAGAGGUAUGGUAUAAAUAUGCUACGACGAAGUACCUUUUUA